GGGCGUAAAGCGUCAGUAGGUGGCCAAGUAAGUCUGYUGUCAAAGACCACAGCUUAACUGUGGAAAGGCAGUGGAAACUGCAUGGCUAGAGUACGGUAGGGGUAGAGGGAAUUCCAGGUGUAGCGGUGAAAUGCGUAGAUCUCUGGAAGAACGCCGGUGGCGAAAGCGCUCUACUGGGCCGUAACUGACACUGAGGGACGAAAGCUAGGGGAGCGAAAGGGAUUAGAUACCCCUGUAGUCCUAGCCGUAAACGAUGGAUACUAGGUGGAGCACGUAUCGACCCGUGCUGUAUCGGAGCCAACGCGUUAAGUAUCCCGGCUGGGGAGUACGCGCGCAAGCGUGAAACUCAAAGGAAUUGWCGGGGGCCCGCACAAGCGGUGGAGUAUGUGGUUUAAUUCGAUGCAACGCGAAGAACCUUACCAGGGCUUGACAUGUCGCGAAGCCUUCCGAAAGGAGGGUGUGCCGAAAGGAACGCGAACACAGGUGGUGCAUGGCUGUCGUCAGCUGGUGUCGUGAGAUGUUGGGUGAAGUCCCGCAACGAGCGCAACCCUCGUCUUUAGUUGCCAUCAUUAAGUUGGGAACUCUAGAGAGACUGCCGGUGACAAACCGGAGGAAGGUGGGGACGACGUCAAGUCAGCAUGCCCCUUACGCCCUGGGCGACACACGUACUACAAUGGUGAGGACAGAGGGCAGCCAACUUGCAAAAGUGAGCAAAUCCCGCAAACCUCGCCUCAGUUCAGAUCGCAGGCUGCAACUCGCCUGCGUGAAGGAGGAAUCGCUAGUAAUCGCAGGUC
This 794-nucleotide ribosomal RNA is filed under the name Geitlerinema splendidum MCCS 019. RNAcentral describes it as "bacterial SSU rRNA". It matches the Rfam family "Bacterial small subunit ribosomal RNA", at positions 556 to 1350 of the family's 1533-position model. Lineage: Bacteria; Bacillati; Cyanobacteriota; Cyanophyceae; Geitlerinematales; Geitlerinemataceae. The record is from RNAcentral.